This 253-nucleotide ribosomal RNA is filed under the name uncultured bacterium. RNAcentral describes it as "partial 16S ribosomal RNA". It matches the Rfam family "Bacterial small subunit ribosomal RNA", at positions 524 to 776 of the family's 1533-position model. The record is from RNAcentral.
UACGUAGGGGGCUAGCGUUGUCCGGAAUCAUUGGGCGUAAAGCGCGUGUAGGCGGUUUGGUAAGUCCGCUGUGAAAGUCGGGGGCUCAACCCUCGAAUGCCGGUGGAUACUGUCGAACUAGAGUGCGGAAGAGGCGAGUGGAAUUCCUGGUGUAGCGGUGAAAUGCGCAGAUAUCAGGAGGAACACCAAUUGCGAAGGCAGCUCGCUGGGACGUUACUGACGCUGAGACGCGAAAGCGUGGGGAGCAAACAGG